This 81-nucleotide small RNA is filed under the name Carlito syrichta (Philippine tarsier). Its description in RNAcentral is "Y RNA (ENSTSYG00000023751.2)". The record is from RNAcentral. Lineage: Eukaryota; Metazoa; Chordata; Mammalia; Primates; Tarsiidae.
GAGUGCAGUAGUGUUUACAACCAAUUGAUCACAACCAGUUACAGACUUCUUUGUUCCUUCUCCACUGCCACUGCUUGCUUU